ACAGUUGGAAACGACUGCUAAUCCCGGAUGAGCCCUUGUGGUAAAAGAUUUAUCGUCUAGAGAAGAGCUCGCGUCCGAUUAGUUAGUUGGUGGGGUAAUGGCUUACCAAGACAGCGAUCGGUAACUGGUCUGAGAGGAUGACCAGUCACACUGGGACUGAGACACGGCCCAGACUCCUACGGGAGGCAGCAGUGGGGAAUUUUCCGCAAUGGGCGAAAGCCUGACGGAGCAAUACCGCGUGCGGGAGGAAGGCCCUUGGGUCGUAAACCGCUUUUCUCAGGGAAGAAGAACUGACGGUACCUGAGGAAAAAGCCUCGGCUAACUCCGUGCCAGCAGCCGCGGUAAUACGGAGGAGGCAAGCGUUAUCCGGAAUUAUUGGGCGUAAAGCGUCCGCAGGUGGUCUUGUAAGUCUGCUGUUAAAUACGGAAGCUCAACUUCCGAUCGGCGGUGGAAACUGCAAAACUAGAGUACAGUAGGGGUAGAGGGAAUUCCCAGUGUAGCGGUGAAAUGCGUAGAGAUUGGGAAGAACACCGGUGGCGAAAGCGCUCUGCUGGGC
Molecule: ribosomal RNA, 556 nt
Filed under: Spirulina sp. TIOX113
Lineage: Bacteria; Bacillati; Cyanobacteriota; Cyanophyceae; Spirulinales; Spirulinaceae
Description: bacterial SSU rRNA
Rfam family: Bacterial small subunit ribosomal RNA
Source: RNAcentral